Molecule: small RNA, 93 nt
Filed under: Arabidopsis thaliana (thale cress)
Lineage: Eukaryota; Viridiplantae; Streptophyta; Magnoliopsida; Brassicales; Brassicaceae
Description: ATSL283930
Source: RNAcentral
UUUUUUUUUGUGCUUUAGGCAGGGAAAUACAUUGGACCGCCUUGACUCCAGUAUACCGUUUUUGUAACUGGAUUCGCUUUAAUAAAUAUAUAU